AAGCUACUGGGGGAGCCGAAGCUCCCCCCCAAACUGGUGCGUGCUUUGUUUUUAUUAUUGAGCCGGGCUUGCUGUUCUUGUUGUUUGACCCGUACCAGCAGAUUCGUGAUCUCUGGAUAUGCCCUCGAAUCGAGGGUCAAGAGCAAACGGAUUGCUUUGGAUGCUGAUGGUGCCGUGAUCAUUCGAUCCAACCAGUUCGGGUGCUGCCUGAGUAAGCAGUU
This 221-nucleotide non-coding RNA is filed under the name Metapseudomonas otitidis. RNAcentral also lists the same sequence under 1 other name. The record is from RNAcentral. Lineage: Bacteria; Pseudomonadati; Pseudomonadota; Gammaproteobacteria; Pseudomonadales; Pseudomonadaceae.